Molecule: non-coding RNA, 210 nt
Organism: Vicia faba (fava bean)
Lineage: Eukaryota; Viridiplantae; Streptophyta; Magnoliopsida; Fabales; Fabaceae
Source: the annotation of a GenBank genome assembly
AUGAGAAACCACUCUUCUUCCUCAGUUCAAGCGCGCCGCAACUUCUCACAUCAUCACCUCCAAAGAUUCCUCCACCGUAGCCUUAAAGCUCCAUUUGUCUCAGCUCCGCCUGCUCUGUUAUCAAGCAUUGUUGUUGAUGCAGAGAUCAUGAAGAGUAUGGCAGACGAAGAUGAUGCUGCUACAACAAAGUUGCAAAAGAACUUGAAAUGA